GCAGUGGUAGUUCAGUGGUAGAAACCUUACCUUUCAUACGGGAGACCUGGGUUUGAUUCCCAGCCAGUGCA
This 71-nucleotide transfer RNA is filed under the name Loxodonta africana (African savanna elephant). It matches the Rfam family "tRNA". Rfam says of the family: Transfer RNA (tRNA) molecules are approximately 80 nucleotides in length. Lineage: Eukaryota; Metazoa; Chordata; Mammalia; Proboscidea; Elephantidae. The record is from Rfam by way of RNAcentral.